GAUUUUGGGGCCAUUUUCAUCCCAAUUUUGGGGCCAUUUUCAUCCCAAUUUUGGGGCCAUUUUCAUCCCAAUUUUGGGGCCAUUUUCAAUGGGAUUUUGGGUCCAAUCUCAGCGAUUUUGGGGCCAUUUUCAGUGGGAUUUUGGGGCCAUUUUCAAUGGGAUUUUGGGGCCAAUCUCAGCGAUUUGGGGGCCACUUUCAACCCAAAUUUGGUGCCAUUUUCAAUGGGAUUUUGGGGCCAUUUUCAAUGGGAUUUUGGGGCCAUUUUCAACCCGAUUUUGGUGCUAUUUUCAAUGGGAUUUUGGCCAUUUUUGCCACAAUUUGGGGCCAAUUGUGAGCGGACCGGUGCCCCUCACCGCAGGGCGCGGCUCAGCUUGUCGUAGUUCAUGUGGGGCUUGCACUUGCGCGCGCCCCACAGCCGCGCCACCUCGUCGGGGUCCUUGAUGACGAACUCGCCGUAGUCGCCCUGCCAGGCGAUGACGUGCCGGUAGCGCUCCUGGCGCAGCAGCUCCAGGAUGAAGUGCCACAGCUGGAUCUGCCGCGAGCCGGGGCUCGACUCCGCCUUGUACGCCCACUCCGGGAACGCCAGCCCUAUGGGGAGGGCAGAUGUGGGGCUG
RNAcentral lists this long non-coding RNA (615 nucleotides) under Numida meleagris (helmeted guineafowl). Its description in RNAcentral is "lncRNA (ENSNMEG00000000683.1)". Lineage: Eukaryota; Metazoa; Chordata; Aves; Galliformes; Numididae. The record is from RNAcentral.